AACCCAAAUUGGACUGGUACCUUAAAUACCAGUAUGUUUGGUUGAGUGUUAUAAAUUAAUAACCGAUGCUUGGUUUUAAUUUAAUUGAGUUUAAUAUUAUUCUUUGAGUAAUAUUAAAAAUUUGAGAAUUCUUAACACGAUUCUUUAAAUUCAAGCUUAAUAAUUUGAGUAUAAUUUAUUAUACUUAGAUGAUGUUACGCUAAUAGUUAAAUUCAAUAGUUAUUAAUAAGUUUUAGCAUUUAUUUGCUCUAACUUUUAUUAUUAUUGGGUUUUAUCAAGCUAUUAAGUUUAAAAUAUCACCGUAAAGUUAUUACGUAAAUAAAAUUAAAUAAGUUUACUUAUUUAUUAAAUUUUAUGCCUCAACUCAAACAAGAUUACCCGCUGAACUUAA
This 391-nucleotide unclassified non-coding RNA is filed under the name uncultured fungus. RNAcentral describes it as "sequence contains ITS2". The record is from RNAcentral. Lineage: Eukaryota; Fungi.